Molecule: long non-coding RNA, 2549 nt
Organism: Zingiber officinale
Lineage: Eukaryota; Viridiplantae; Streptophyta; Magnoliopsida; Zingiberales; Zingiberaceae
Exons: 3
Source: RefSeq, a predicted model, not a curated record
UAUUCACUUUCCUCUAUCAAGGUAAACAAGUGUGCAAAGGAAAAGAUUUCUUCACCCUUUCUUUUCUCUUCCUCCAAAGAUAACUUUCUAUCGUUGAUUCCUUUCUUUUCCUCAUCCACACUCUAGAGUAAACAUAGCCUAAGGGUUCGAUCAUUUAAUCUGCAUAAUGUGUUUAUUAGUUGGGCUUAUUGUGUGAAGAUUGUAGUAUAGGAUUUCUCAUAUAUUUUAACCAGUUGUGUUUCAUCAUCUUUUCUUCUAUUUCUAAGUAAAGCACUUACAUGUAGAAAGGAUAUUUGCUAUACAAAAUUCAUGCAUUCCAAUUUAUCAUAAAUAGACAUAAUGUUCUUGUAAGGUGAUUCCAAUGUAAGUUGCACAUUUCUGGUGGCUGGAUUUGUUAAAAGCAAACAUAAUGAUCAUGCUAUAAAGUUAAAUUAUUUAAAUACUGCUUUACUUUGUAUUUAGACAUCCAAGCUUAGCAGUGAUGACAUAAUGCAUGUUUGUUCAUAUCUCAAUAACAAUCUCUUUAUUUCUUUCUAGUUUAUAUAUCAUCACAAGCUAGUAUGUUUAAUACCAGGGGAUUUGAAACCUUUCAUUAUAAGAUCAGUCCCAUAACUUUGGUUCAAUAAGCUAUAUGUGUUCUUACACUAGCACAAGACUCUUUGUUCAACAUUCUCAAGAUUUAUCGCAUUCAAAUGAUUUGAAAUUUGUUUUUCCCAUAUCAAACUAAAGCUAUGAAUGUGGCUGGACCUUUAACUACUAUGGAAUCAUUAACCGUGUCAAUAUGUACUGGAAUCUGAUUCAUUAGUUUAAGAUGACUAUUGGUGCUUAUGAGAUGUCUGUCUUAGCACUAUUAAUGAACUCUAGUAUUUUCAACAUGCUUUGCUUUGUUCACAUGCUUUUCUUUGGUUUACAUGGGGUAAAUUUAGAUUUGACCUUAAUUUUUCUUAAAGACGAUCCUUAUAGAGAAGAGUGAUAAUGCUUGAUGUUAGAUAAUACUUGAUGUUAGACAUUAAGGAUUGUAGCAACUCUUAAAGUAUAGUGUUGUUUGUUCUUUUGCAUUUACAAGUUCCUGCAUUUAUUGAUUGUGUAGUGUUAUUUGUUCAUUUGCAUUUGCAAUUCUAUGGAAUAUAAUUUGUUUGCUUACAAGUAUUUGUAGUUAAGGAUUGCAGCACGUAAUGGUGUUAAGGAUUGCAACAAGUCUUUAUAGUUUGUUUGCUUACACAUUUUAAAGCUUGUUUGCUUACACGUUUUAAAGUUUGCUUGCAAUAUUAAUGUUUGUUUGCUUACACCUGCAAAAUACCAAAGUAUUAAAUUAGUUUUUGAAAUGUUUGUUUGCUUACACCUGCAAUAUUAAGGUUUGUUUGCUUACACGUUUUCAACAAGUAUAUCUUACAACAACAUAUGCUUACACCUCCAAGUAUGCUGACACCUGCAAUAUUAAUUUGUUUGCUUACAAGUAAUUCUUUAUUAAGGUCAUGGUUCCAAGUAUUUACAAAUUGAACAGACUUUAUUUGCUCGUUUACAUUUGUAAUUCUUUGGAAUAUAGUUUGUUUGCUUACAAGUCUUUAUAGUUAAGGAUUGUAUUAAUGUAUAUUUUUAUUAAUGUUCAUUUUCAACGGACAUACUAAUGCAGUCAACAGAUUGUUAAGUUGUUACGUUUUAAUAUGUUAAGCUAUGCAUAUGAGUGUUGUGUUAAUUCAACAAAGCCAAUGCACAUGAAUUUGCAAGGCAUCCGAAGCUAAUGGAAGAAUCAUUCUGCUUUGACUCUCUCAAGAGGUCCCCAAGCAUAAAAAACUCAGCUACUCUAUCUCCCCUUGAGUUAACCAUAUCAUCCCUACUUAAAUGUUUUUGUUCCUUGAGAAUAUUCCUCAUAACAGAAUUAUAAAUAUCUUCCUCUAAUUUCUCAAGUGGUAUAGAAUCUUCUUGUCAUCCUCCAAUUUCUCAAGUGUUUGGACUUGUUUUCUAUAUAUAUUCCUACUACAUGCUAGUCAAUAUUAUAUUUUCAUUUGUGCAUGUACCAUUGGAUCUUGACUAUAAUUAAUGAAGAUAAGAAUAUGAUAUAUUUAUUGGACUCUUUGAGUAACAGGAACCGAGACUAUGCUUGACAAACUAUUGUGACAAAUGGGGUCAAGAUAUACAAUGCAUCAAGGGGUAUUUCAAAAGGACCAGGUUUUAAAUAAUUGACAGUAUGUAUUGUGACCAUGUAUUUAGACAACAAUUAAUAAUUUUUAUUAUUUGGAUUGUGACUUCUUGCAUGACAUUUUCAAUUUCAUUAGGGUAAUCUUAAAUAAAAUAAUGGUGUUCAAUGUGAAUAUUGUGUGAUGCAGUACAUGAAAGAGAUAGUCUUGGAUGAAGAUCCACAAUUGGAGAGAAAGUUUGCAGCAUCAAAAAAUAAACAGUAUUACAAUCAAUCUCAGUAUGAUGAAGUCAGAAGUGAAUGGAGCGAAUUCGUCUAUUUUUAUGUAGGUGCCUAAGUGUAGGCUAUGAUAUAAAUUUUAGACAUGUAUUUAGAGAUUUUUGGAUACAAAAGCUUUUGGGUUAUAGUUAAA